This 395-nucleotide long non-coding RNA is filed under the name Mus spretus (western wild mouse). RNAcentral describes it as "lncRNA (ENSMSPG00010039001.1)". The record is from RNAcentral. Lineage: Eukaryota; Metazoa; Chordata; Mammalia; Rodentia; Muridae.
GAUUAACCACUGAGCAUCCACAUCCAUCUGAGCUCAGAGACAGCACUGAGAAAGGCCUGACCCAGGAGUAAAUGACUUGAAAGCAUGUGCCAAAUUAGAGGCUUCCUGGUGACCUCUGGGUGAAAGCAUUUGACAGCAAAGAACUCAGGGACCUUCCUCAAGAGCCUGAAACCUGGCUGAUCAGGUUUCACUGUUAGCACGAAGAGAGCUUCAGGGUGGAGCCUGCCACCCUAUCGUUCUGCCACUCACACUGCUACUACCUGCCCCCUAGCUGUUCCGGAGCUAUCACGUGGUCACCUGAAACUGGACUCCAAGGAUGAUUUGGCGGGAACGGUCCCCUUCCCCUUCUUCAUAACCCAGUGUCUGGGAAUAGUAAAAUUGAACCUUGAUCAGAC